RNAcentral lists this ribosomal RNA (483 nucleotides) under uncultured bacterium. RNAcentral describes it as "partial 16S ribosomal RNA". It matches the Rfam family "Bacterial small subunit ribosomal RNA", at positions 30 to 506 of the family's 1533-position model. The record is from RNAcentral.
AUUGAACGCUGGCGGCAGGCCUAACACAUGCCAGUCGAGCGGAUGAAGGGAGCUUGCUCCUGGAUUCAGCGGCGGACGGGUGAGUAAUGCCUAGGAAUCUGCCUGGUAGUGGGGGAUAACGUCCGGAAACGGGCGCUAAUACCGCAUACGUCCUGAGGGAGAAAGUGGGGGAUCUUCGGACCUCACGCUAUCAGAUGAGCCUAGGUCGGAUUAGCUAGUUGGUGGGGUAAAGGCCUACCAAGGCGACGAUCCGUAACUGGUCUGAGAGGAUGAUCAGUCACACUGGAACUGAGACACGGUCCAGACCCCUACGGGGGGCAGCAGUGGGGAAUAUUGGAAAGGGGGCGAAAGCCUGACCCAGCCAGGCCGCGUGUGUGAAGAAGGUCUUCGGAUUGUAAAGCACUUUAAGUUGGGAGGAAGGGCAGUAAGUUAAACCCUUGCUUUUUUGACGUUACCAACAGAAUAAGCACCGGCGACCUUCGU